This 614-nucleotide ribosomal RNA is filed under the name uncultured fungus. Its description in RNAcentral is "LSU rRNA". It matches the Rfam family "Eukaryotic large subunit ribosomal RNA", at positions 23 to 664 of the family's 3401-position model. The record is from RNAcentral. Lineage: Eukaryota; Fungi.
ACCCGCUGAACUUAAGCAUAUCAAUAAGCGGAGGAAAAGAAACCAACAGGGAUUGCCCUAGUAACGGCGAGUGAAGCGGCAACAGCUCAAAUUUGAAAUCUGGCGCAAGCCCGAGUUGUAAUUUGUAGAGGAUGCUUCUGGGCAGCGGCCGGUCUAAGUUCCUUGGAACAGGACGUCAUAGAGGGUGAGAAUCCCGUAUGCGACCGGUUGGCACCCGUCACGUAGCUCCUUCGACGAGUCGAGUUGUUUGGGAAUGCAGCUCUAAAUGGGAGGUAAAUUCCUUCUAAAGCUAAAUACCGGCCAGAGACCGAUAGCGCACAAGUAGAGUGAUCGAAAGAUGAAAAGCACUUUGGAAAGAGAGUUAAAAAGCACGUGAAAUUGUUGAAAGGGAAGCGCAUGCAACCAGACUUGUCGGCGGUGUUCCGCCGGUCUUCUGACCGGUCUACUCGCCGCCGGCAGGCCAGCAUCACUUGGGAGCGCCGGAUAAAGGCGCCGGGAAUGUGGCUCCUCGGAGUGUUAUAGCCCGGCGCACAAUACGGCGUCCCCCGAGUGAGGUCCGCGCUUCGGCCAGGAUGCUGGCGUAAUGGUUGUCUGCGGCCCGUCUUGAAACACGG